AGUGAACGCUGGCGGUAGGCCUAACACAUGCAAGUCGAACGGCAGCACAGUAAGAGCUUGCUCUUACGGGUGGCGAGUGGCGGACGGGUGAGGAAUACAUCGGAAUCUACUUUUUCGUGGGGGAUAACGUAGGGAAACUUACGCUAAUACCGCAUACGACCUACGGGUGAAAGCAGGGGAUCUUCGGACCUUGCGCGAUUGAAUGAGCCGAUGUCGGAUUAGCUAGUUGGCGGGGUAAAGGCCCACCAAGGCGCCGAUCCGUAGCUGGUCUGAGAGGAUGAUCAGCCACACUGGAACGGAGACACGGUCCAGACUCCUACGGGAGGCAGCAGUGGGGAAUAUUGGACAAUGGGCGCAAGCCUGAUCCAGCCAUACCGCGUGGGUGAAGAAGGCCUUCGGGUUGUAAAGCCCUUUUGUUGGGAAAGAAAAGCAGCAGGUUAAUACCCCGCUGUUCUGACGGUACCCAAGGAAUAAGCACCGGCUAACUUCGUG
RNAcentral lists this ribosomal RNA (492 nucleotides) under uncultured bacterium. RNAcentral describes it as "partial 16S ribosomal RNA". It matches the Rfam family "Bacterial small subunit ribosomal RNA", at positions 29 to 507 of the family's 1533-position model. The record is from RNAcentral.